RNAcentral lists this ribosomal RNA (253 nucleotides) under uncultured bacterium. RNAcentral describes it as "partial 16S ribosomal RNA". It matches the Rfam family "Bacterial small subunit ribosomal RNA", at positions 524 to 776 of the family's 1533-position model. The record is from RNAcentral.
UACGUAGGGACCGAGCGUUGUCCGGAAUCAUUGGGCGUAAAGAGCGUGUAGGCGGCCACUUAAGUCCUGCGUGAAAUCUUGCGGCUCAACCGCAAGCGGUCGUGGGAAACUGGGUGGCUAGAGUGCGGGAGAGGAGAGUGGAAUUCCUGGUGUAGCGGUGGAAUGCGUAGAUAUCGGAAGGAACACCAGUGGCGAAAGCGGCUUCCUGGUCCGACACCGACGUUCAGGCACGAAAGCGUGGGGAGCAAACAGG